Long non-coding RNA from Biomphalaria glabrata, 2796 nucleotides. RefSeq lists it as uncharacterized. NCBI's taxonomy places the organism in Eukaryota, Metazoa, Mollusca, Gastropoda, Planorbidae. The transcript has 3 exons. The record is from RefSeq and is a predicted model, not a curated record.
GUUUGGUACACACUCGACCCUCGUGUGUUAUUUGCAAAGUUAUUCUUGCGAAACGCAUAAUGUCUCCACUCCCCGCAACUAACACACGUGUAUUUUUUUGUUUGUUAUCCAUACAAUAAAUAACUAAUUGCAUCAAAUCAUUUAAUAAUUAGGCCUACCCAUUGGCCUUUGAUAAUGUACUUUUCGCAUUAUGAACAUAAAUCGUAGUCCUAGAUCUAGCAGUCUGUUGUUUUUUUAAUGUGUAAAAGGAUGUUUAAAAAUCUAUAAUAAAUGUUGUGUAAUUUUUAAUGUAUCUAAAAUCUAAAAACAUCUCAGCACAGAAGACGAGGCUAUAAAGUAAAGUUGGAAUAAGAACAUAAAACACUGAGCUUACUAAUAAAAAAAAAACAAUAUAAUUAAAUAAAAAUACCAAGCAAGACACAAAGAUAAAGGCACAAUUAUUUCAUAUGCGAGGAAAAAUUCUGCUAGUGCUCCUUAUUCCCUAGCGCCAUUUAAGCAUGAAACGGGUUGCCUGAAUCAGCCAUGAAAACAAACGAUUUAGAGAGUCUCUAAUUAACAUGCAUGACUAGACAAACACAUAGAUACGUGAAGGACGUAAUUAUCUUCUUUUUUUUUUUUUUCCUGAACGAGCGUCUGUGAUUUAUAAGAUAAGAUAAAGGCAAACUUCGCCAGAUAUAUAAAAGUAUGCUCCUGAGCUAACCCAGGAAAACCAGUGACUUGGCGGAGUUUAGGUCGUUGGUUAAUAUGCAUGACUAAAUGCAUGACGCGUAAUCAUCAUCUUUUUUUUUUUAAGUAACUUCUGUAUCAUAUAAGAUAAGAUAAGAUACGCAUUUUAAUGUCUCGAUUUUACUGUAAGCUUGGAAAAAAAUAUUUUAUAUUAGACUUACAAAGAAGAUAUAAAAAGAGAGUGCCCUACAUAUUAUUUGAAGCUCUGACUGUUCCAUGGGGAUGAUUACGUAGGUAAGUUCAAAUGCCCAUGUGUGUCUACCCCAUGCAAACUUUAUUAGGGCUGACCAGCACGCUUCACCGCGCUAGCCAGUAUGUACGUAAUAGAGGUCAUGCGCUAGCACACUGGUCACGUUCACCUUCGCCUGCCCAGAAGUCUGUUGAGAGUUAGGGUAUCACAAGUGAUCUGAUAACAAAUUUAUCCCAUUCAGCUUUGUUUCCUGCAUUCCUAUUAAAACAAUGUCAAGUUCCACAAUCUUCGGACCCAAAGAGAAUGCAUUACGUAUGUGUAUGAAACAUGUUUAGCACUUCCUGCGCAGUGGCGUAGCUAGGGUGGGCGGAGGAGAGGGAGAAUUUGAAAAUUCCCCCUGGGCCUCCAAUUGAGGGCCCUCCUAAAUUAGUGGUUUUUUUUUACAUUAAAUAUUACACAAAAUGCAGAGGCCCCAAAAAGGUCAUGCCCACCCCCGGGCUCCAAAAUGAUGGGAUAUUCCUAGCUACGUUCCUGCGCGUAGCAUGCACGUGAAAGCUCUCUAAGUUUAGAUUACAAAAUCUUCGAUCUAAUGCCUCUGACAUGCAUGUGUACAAGAUACAGUAAUAUACGCCAGGGAGGGGUGGUUGGGAGGCAGAGACCAAGAAAUAAAAGAAAAAAAAUGUAAAGAACAAAUAGACAAAAAAGUUUUUAAAAAGGGAAAAUAGAAAGUCAUUCUUAAUAAAGAUCUAGGUUCUAGGUUCUCAGUCAGCAAUUAGCAAACAUCUACCAUUAGCGUCAUGGCGGAAAACAAAAACUUUAUUAUCUUGAACGGGGGCACUUUUGCGCACCAUACCAACAGUAAUAGGGGGUAAAAUAAAUAAAUAAAAGAAAAGAAAAAGAAUUAAAAGGAAAUUGUGAAAAAAAAAAAGACAAAAAGAAAAUAAAGAAAUUGUUAAAAAUGUGAAACUUCUAAACUUAUAUAAACUCCUUUUCUCUUUUUAAAUACUUUUAAUGUAGCAAGAUCAAACCUAAAUAGUGGACUGCUGGCUGGAGAAUUUAAUUGAAUCAAGUUUCAUGUUUCCAACAAUUUAAUUUCCUUGAAUAAUGUAUGGGAGGUGUGUUACACGAAUUGUCAAGAGCUAGCUGCGCCUUGAUUUCUGCAUUUAAGUUUGUUUUAAAAUUAGCACGCUACAAAUUAUAGCACACAUUCCGACACACUGUUUUUCAUUUCCACAGGUCAAUGUGUAACCCAUUGUGUCGUUACUGCGAAUCAGUUGUUUGGUAUCUGGAUUACUGAGGAAGUCUCCAGCACAGGGUAUUCACAAGAGAACAGAACACUGAGAACAAGAUUCUGAGCUACAAUGCUGGAGAACAAAGUAAAGCCGCAAACAAGAUAUAGUAACUCCAACUUGACAGACAUCUUGCAGCUAUAUUGCAGAUGUACGAAAACAAGUCAGUGAUGGAGUUUCUGCGUGACAUUUCCUACAAUUUAACUUUGUGAAACUUCAGGAGACAACCUCGAGGAUAAAUCAGGAGUGAAGCCCCUUAGGCGUUGGGAGUAUCAGCUACGAAAUUCCCUCCGGCAACGUCUGCAACUGAGUUGGUGCCUUUGGCAAGGUCAAGAGAGGGAUCAUGACGCAUGGGCCACCCAUGACCCCUUUAUCUAAGGCCAAGGAAUGCGCCCCGGAGAGGAAACUCUGGUGCUGCUGCAAAGCGGCUAAAACAACACUGGAGACAACAGUUAUGAAUAUAAAUGCUCGAACUGUGGCAAACUGCCGAUCCAGAAUUGGCUUGAUCAGCCACUCCAGAUUCUGCCCCGUCUCAAGACGUAACCAAAGCCAGUGACUCAUCUGAGCGCAUCCAUUGUCUUACGAGACAGA